GGGCCCGUCGCCUAGCACGGAUCAGGGCACUGACAAGAGGAGCCAGAGACCGAGAGUUCGAAUCUCUCCGGGCCCGCCA
This 79-nucleotide transfer RNA is filed under the name Nitrososphaerota archaeon. Its description in RNAcentral is "Thaumarchaeota archaeon tRNA-Leu". It matches the Rfam family "tRNA". From Rfam's summary of the family: Transfer RNA (tRNA) molecules are approximately 80 nucleotides in length. Their secondary structure includes four short double-helical elements and three loops (D, anti-codon, and T loops). Lineage: Archaea; Thermoproteati; Nitrososphaerota. The record is from RNAcentral.